GUCCCUACGGGAGGCAGCAGUGGGGGAUAUUGCACAAUGGGGGAAACCCUGAUGCAGCGACGCCGCGUGAGUGAAGAAGUAUUUCGGUACGUAAAGCUCUAUCAGCAGGGAAGAAUAAUGACGGUACCUGACUAAGAAGCCCCGGCUAACUACGUGCCAGCAGCCGCGGUAAUACGUAGGGGGCAAGCGUUAUCCGGAUUUACUGGGUGUAAAGGGAGCGCAGGCGGCAGGAUGAGUCUGAUGUGAAAACCCGCGGCUCAACCACGGGAUUGCAUUGGAAACUGUCCAGCUAG
Molecule: ribosomal RNA, 293 nt
Filed under: uncultured bacterium
Lineage: Bacteria
Description: partial 16S ribosomal RNA
Rfam family: Bacterial small subunit ribosomal RNA
Source: RNAcentral